RNAcentral lists this unclassified non-coding RNA (349 nucleotides) under soil metagenome. Its description in RNAcentral is "partial contains 5.8S ribosomal RNA, internal transcribed spacer 2, and large subunit ribosomal RNA". The stretch from base 1 to 120 matches the Rfam family "5.8S ribosomal RNA", at positions 35 to 154 of the family's 154-position model. The record is from RNAcentral.
GAUGAAGAACGUAGCGAAAUGCGAUAAGUAAUGUGAAUUGCAGAGUUCAGUGAAUCAUCGAAUCUUUGAACGCACAUUGCGCCCGUCAGUAUUCUGACGGGCAUGCCUGUCCGAGCGUCAUUUCAACCCUCAAGCACUGCUUGGCGUUGGCGGAUUGCGAGCCCUCGCGGCGCUGCAACCGCCCAAAUACAGUGGCGGUCCCGCCCGCGGCAACCUUUGCGUAGUAGCACAAACCUCGCAUCUGGUGUCCGGUGGUGACCACGCCGUAAAACGAACCCAUUUUCUCAUGAGUUGACCUCGGAUCAGGUAGGAAUACCCGCUGAACUUAAGCAUAUCAAUAAGCGGAGGA